RNAcentral lists this ribosomal RNA (560 nucleotides) under uncultured bacterium. RNAcentral's name for it is "partial 16S ribosomal RNA". It matches the Rfam family "Bacterial small subunit ribosomal RNA", at positions 355 to 1375 of the family's 1533-position model. The record is from RNAcentral.
UAGGGAAUCUUGCGCAAUGGGCGAAAGCCUGACGCAGCCAUGCCGCGUGAAUGAUGAAGGUCUUAGGAUUGUAAAAUUCUUUCACCGGGGAAGAUAAUGACGGUACCCGGAGAAGAAGCCCCGGCUAACUUCGUGCCAGCAGCCGCGGUAAUACGAAGGGGGCUAGCGUUGCUCGGAAUUACUGGGCGUAAAGGGCGCGUAGGCGGAUGUUUAAGUCGGGGGUGAAAGCCCGGGGCUCAACCUCGGAAUUGCCUUCGAUACUGGACAUCUUGAGUACGGGAGAGGUGAGUGGAACUCCGAGUGUAGAGGUGAAAUUCGUAGAUAUUCGGAAGAACACCAGUGGCGAAGGCGACUCACUGGCCCGUUACUGACGCUGAGGCGCGAAAGCGUGGGGAGCAAACAGGAUUAGAUACCCUGGUAGUCCACGCCGUAAACGAUGAGUGCUAGUUGUCGGCAUGCAUGCAUGUCGGUGACGCAGCUAACGCAUUAAGCACUCCGCCUGGGGAGUACGGUCGCAAGAUUAAAACUCAAAUGAAUUGACGGGGUCAUAGCUGUUUCCU